Molecule: long non-coding RNA, 544 nt
Organism: Hemicordylus capensis (graceful crag lizard)
Lineage: Eukaryota; Metazoa; Chordata; Lepidosauria; Squamata; Cordylidae
Exons: 4
Source: RefSeq, a predicted model, not a curated record
GUUCUCUGCAGCAGAAGACCCCUUGCUGCCCUGCUUAACCCAGACCAGCAUUUGCCAGGCAGUUAUAUUCAGGAGACUCGCUUCACUGGAUAUAUGACCAUUUUAUGAAUGAACAAAACAUUUUGGGUGAAAUUCUAAAUCUGCUGCCCUAUCUUGCAAAAACAGCAGACAGAGAAACCUGAAGGAAAAAAUGGAAACAAAUGUUAACAUUUUGGGUCAGGAUAACCACCAGGCUGUUUUCACAGCAUGACUACAUAAAAGAGGCUACUACACAAACAGCAGAGGGACAGACAGGCUUGAAAAGAAUAAAACAUCAGAGUUUUGUUACUAGAGGUGGAUUACAGCACUCAGUUGUAAUACAUGAUGCAGAUUUCCAGUCUGACAAGGUCACAUAUUUUUCUUUCAAAAACCUCACAGCAGACAAGGGUGAAGAAGGUGGGAAUUACGUACAUGAUAUGUCUAUAAUUAUACUUCAACUGUGAUGCUGGCUGAUAUUUUACUUAUUUAGAAAAUGUCACUUUCCUCAGAGAGUCAAAGUAGCUAA